AUUGAACGCUGGCGGCAGGCCUAACACAUGCAAGUCGAGCGGAGCGGCGGACGGGUGAGUAAUGCCUAGGAAUCUGCCUGGUAGUGGGGGAGAACGUCCGGAAACGGGCGCUAAUACCGCAUACUAUCAGAUGAGCCUAGGUAGGAUUAGCUAGUUGGUGGGGUAAAGGCCUACCAAGGCGACGAUCCAUAGCUGGUCUGAGAGGAUGACCAGCCACACUGGAACUGAGACACGGUCCAGCCUCCUACGGGAGGCAGCGGUGGGAAAUAUUGCACAUUGGGCGAAAGCCUGAUGCAGCCAUGCCGCGUGUAUGAGGAAGUCCUGCGGGUUGUAAAGUACUUUCAUCGGGGAGGCGUUACCCGCAGAAUAAGCACCGGCUAACUCCGUGCCAGCAGCCGCGGUAAUUC
Molecule: ribosomal RNA, 407 nt
Filed under: uncultured bacterium
Lineage: Bacteria
Description: partial 16S ribosomal RNA
Rfam family: Bacterial small subunit ribosomal RNA
Source: RNAcentral